This 1634-nucleotide long non-coding RNA is filed under the name Nicotiana benthamiana. RNAcentral's name for it is "long non-coding RNA (NBEN_LNC015829)". Lineage: Eukaryota; Viridiplantae; Streptophyta; Magnoliopsida; Solanales; Solanaceae. The record is from RNAcentral.
AGAAGAAGAGAAUAUUACCAAAGAGCGUUCUUUUCCGAUAACUAUGAUUUUUUGAAUAAGGUAGUGAAGGUCGGAUGACUUUUUGUCAAAACUCCAAAUUAUCUCCGUAGAAAUUCGUGACGAUACGUAGUCUCUACAACUAGGUAAGCACACUAAAUUUAAUUGAAGAAUUCAACAAUCAAAUGAUAAAUAUGAAAUAGAAAUCUUUAUACACAACUUAUCACCAAAGAUGGUAAUACAAGUCAUAAGCUUUACUGAGUUUGCUUGAAAAUCCCUAACUACAACUGUUCGAAAAAGAAAAUGGUACAAGUACAAUAUUAAAAGGUAACUCCGAGACAUGCGAACAUGAUGGAAGAUUUACCUUGAGUUUCCACAGUAAUGCCUGACCAGCUAGUUAACAAUCAAAAAUAACACAGGCACCUGGAUCUGCACAAAAAUGUACAGCAGCAUAGUAUGAGUACACCACAGUGGUACCCAUUGAGUAUCAAGAGUCAAGACUAACCCCGAUAAAGUAGUGAUUAGGGAAAAUAAAGACACAUACUGUACUAGACAAUCGGAACAAAUAUGAAGCUGAACUAACAGAGAGACAAUCUUAAUAUGAAGCUGAGUAGGAUAAGGAAUAUGAAACAACACUUGCAACUUAAACUUUCCAAUUUCACCGAAAUGCUUCAAAUUACCUUGCGGGCCUCAAUACUCAAUUCGGAUGCAUGCCUAAGUCCAAAAUAACCAUAUGAAGUUACUGAAAUCAUCAAAAUAUCAAUUCGGAGUCGUCUACACAAUCGUCAAAUUUCUGGUCAACUCUUACCGCUCAAGCUUCUAAUCUAAAUUGCCUGAAUCAUCCAAAAAAGUUAACUCGUCCAUACAUGUAAGUCAUAACACAUAAUACGAAUGCUCGAGACAUUAAGCCGCCAAACAGGAUGCUAGUUCUAAAAAUAACCGGUCGGGUCGUUACAUGCUCCCUCGCGUAGACAAAUAUUCAUCCUCGAACAUGCUAAGAAUCGCCCCGAAGUUAUCAAUUCACUAAAUGUUUUCACCCUAGAUACAACCACAGAUGAACCCACGUCAUCCCAAUCCACAUAGGUCCGACAACACCAACUCAGCUGAAGAUUAUUCACUCCACCCACACUAAUAGGCCUUUGAAGCGUAGAUGAUACUAGGUUGAAAUUCAGCGGCGACUGGGUGCCCUAUUCAUGAGAGAACAAUCGGGUUGCAUCGCUCCGACUAGUUUGCCAAAUCUCCUUGUAGGACCACGUCAAGAAAGUUCCGUCAAUGAACCUUAGCUUAUUUUUUACCUGCAGCGCUUGAUGUAUUGACCGGCUGCAUAAAGCAAAAUUUCUGGGCCUGUAAGAUUGAUACCAACCAACAGUAUACCAAAAACGUAUGUAGCUAGUUUUCCAACUGAUUCUCCCAGGGUUGUUGAAACCCUAGAUUUCGAAGUUCAACAUUGGUUUCCUAAUAGUCUUUAAAUCAUUUGCUCUGAUCCAGAAUCGAUCGCGCUGAUACCAUGAUUGAAUAUAUUAUUUAAUCCAUUUCAUCUUUUGAUAAGAAUCGAGAUACAGAAUUGAGAAGGUGUAAAGAGCAGGAAACGAAAGAGGAACUCAAAUCGUAUUUCUCAAUCUCUAUUCUUACUUACA